UUGCCUUGAUUUGUUAGCGAUCAGUUAGAAUUUUGAAUUAGAGCCUGCUGAAGCAUUUACUAUUUGAUUGAUAAAUUUUUCCUGUAAUUGGGAUAAAAACUCUUGACUUAAUUAAUGUAAAGGAAGAACAUUUUGAGCAAUGUUGUAAUGUGAUUGCAUUGCUGAGAUAAACUUAUCUUGUUUUGGUAUUCUAAAUAUCCAAAUGGACUGUACACUAGGCUAUACAGGUCAAAUUUUGAUGGUAAUGGAACAUUUUUCUUUCCUAAUUUUACUUUCAUCUCUUUUUAGACGAAGCAUAUGGUUAAUGCAACCCACUAACAAAAGAAAAGCUGUUGGUAUUAUUGGUGUUGGAGAGCUGGUUGUCUUCAUGUGAACCGUGAACACUUUUUAUCUCCCAUAUCCAAGAUAUAAACAUCUUUAUG
Molecule: long non-coding RNA, 422 nt
Filed under: Citrus sinensis (sweet orange)
Lineage: Eukaryota; Viridiplantae; Streptophyta; Magnoliopsida; Sapindales; Rutaceae
Description: long non-coding RNA (CSIN_LNC002791)
Source: RNAcentral